Molecule: ribosomal RNA, 1080 nt
Filed under: Triticum aestivum (bread wheat)
Lineage: Eukaryota; Viridiplantae; Streptophyta; Magnoliopsida; Poales; Poaceae
Description: partial small subunit ribosomal RNA
Source: RNAcentral
AUGUUGAGGGAUGAAAAGGAGGACACAUUCAAGUGGGUUUUCCGUGAAUUCAUUAGGAUGGUUGGCGGCAAACACCCACAAACAAUUUUAACAGACCAGGCGCGAUCGAUGGAGUUGGCAAUAGAAGCCGAAAUGCCCAACACAACCCACAGGUGGUGUAAAUGGCAUGUGCUGAAGAAAGCGAAGGAAUCUAUGGCGCCUUUGUGGAGCAAGAAGUCUGAUUUCAAGAGUGAAUUCCACAAGCUGGUGCAUCACAUGGUCACAGAACAAGAGUUUGAAGAUGGAUGGUCUGCAAUGCUUGAUAAAUAUUCACUUAGGAAGCAUCCGUAUCUGACUCAAAUAUAUGAGGUGCGGCAUAAAUGGGCAAAGCCGUAUUUCAGAGGUGUUUUUUGCGCGAAAAUGACCAGUACUCAACGUAGUGAAAGUGCCAAUCACAUGCUUAAGAGUUAUGUCCCGCCAGGGUGCCCAAUCCAUUUGUUCAUUAAACAAUACGAGAAGCUUCAGUUCGAUAGGGACUCGGAGGAGAGUUUCCAGGAGAAACGGACUGCUCUGAGUGGUGUUCUGUUGAAAGUAAAUCUCCCAAUUGAGAGGCAUGCUAGCAGGAUUUACACCAGGGCAAUGUUUGAGCAAUUUGGCGAUGCUCUGUACAAGGCAGGGGCUUAUGAACUGGAUGUUGCUGUACCAAAAAAGUUAUACAUUCUUACUCAUGUGGAUGCUCUCUCUCGUGAGAAAUGGAGCAAGGUCCAGUUUAAGGUUGAGGUUGAUGAUGAUCAGGCAUUUUUCAACUGUGAGUGUUGUAUUUUCGAGCACUCCGGAAUGGUGUGCUGCCAUGCACUCAAGGUUAUGAUCGAGCUCAAGUUGAGCAAGAUACCAGAAAAGCACAUAUUGAAGCGAUGGACUAGGGAUGCCCGUGAUAUCCUGCCUGAUCAUCUCGUUCGGCACCAGAAGGACAAAGGGCCACAUGGCUUUGACACUUACCAUUUGCGGCGAAAAGGGUAUCAAUCCCGACAAAAGCCAUUACCUAUUUGCGUGAACACUAUUCAGAUUGAUGGAGAAGAACUUUCACUACUAAUGGCGUGA